AAGACUAUAGACCUGCGGAGUACCUGCGGAGGGAUCAUUACAGAGUUGUAAAACUCCCAACCCAUGUGAACAUACCUGUUGCCUCGGCGGCCUACCCGGUAGCUACCCUGUAGUUACCCUGUAGUCCGCCGGCGGAAUACAACAAAACUCUUGUUUAUUAUAUUGUCUCUGAGAAAAACUUUAAUAAGUCAAAACUUUCAACAACGGAUCUCU
RNAcentral lists this unclassified non-coding RNA (213 nucleotides) under soil metagenome. Its description in RNAcentral is "partial contains 5.8S ribosomal RNA, internal transcribed spacer 2, and large subunit ribosomal RNA". The record is from RNAcentral.